UCGUCAUUGAGGUGUGCUAACGUUCCAUCUGGAAUCACAUCUCUCACUGCAAUUGGAGCCAUUGAUUGAAGAUAGUGAUGGUGUCGUAGCAAACAACUUUUGCGUGGUCUCACGGUGGUCUCGCAGAGAAGGUAAAGGGUUCGCAUUCAGACUUCAGAAACCAAACUGCAAACCAGAAACACUGAGAAGCACACAAACCAAAAACUUAUGCAGCAGCAGCACGAAGAACAUACUAUAACAGAAAAUAAAUCACAAUAUUGUAGUAAAGAAACAAUAAUUGAAAUUAAUAUGAGA
RNAcentral lists this long non-coding RNA (294 nucleotides) under Trifolium pratense (red clover). RNAcentral's name for it is "long non-coding RNA (TPRA_LNC004590)". The record is from RNAcentral. Lineage: Eukaryota; Viridiplantae; Streptophyta; Magnoliopsida; Fabales; Fabaceae.